RNAcentral lists this unclassified non-coding RNA (390 nucleotides) under soil metagenome. RNAcentral's name for it is "partial contains 5.8S ribosomal RNA, internal transcribed spacer 2, and large subunit ribosomal RNA". The stretch from base 1 to 122 matches the Rfam family "5.8S ribosomal RNA", at positions 35 to 154 of the family's 154-position model. The record is from RNAcentral.
GAUGAAGAACGUAGCGAAAUGCGAUACUUGGUGUGAAUUGCAGAAUCCCGUGAACCAUCGAGUCUUUGAACGCAAGUUGCGCCCGAAGCCAUUAGCCCGAGGGCACGCCUGCCUGGGCGUCACACGUCGUUGCCCCCCAUCUACUCCUUCGGGAUUGCGGGGGGCGGAUGAUGGCCUCCCGUGCGCCUCGUCGCGCGGUUGGCAUAAAUGCCAAGUCCUCGGCGACGCACGCCACGACAAUCGGUGGUUGCGAAACCUCGGUUGCCCGUCGUGUGCGGUCGUCGCGCAUCGAGGGCUCGAAAAAAUUGCCGGGCUCCGGCUCGGCUUUCAACGCGACCCCAGGUCAGGCGGGGUUACCCGCUGAAUUUAAGCAUAUCAAUAAGCGGAGGA